GUACCGUACGAACGUUUAUUCGGAAUCACUGGGCUUAAAGGGUGCGUAGGCGGCGUGGUCAGUUGGGUGUGAAAUCCCUCGGCUCAACCGAGGAACUGCGCCCAAUACUGCCACACUCGAGGGAGACAGAGGUAAGCGGAACUGAUGGUGGAGCGGUGAGAUGCGUUGAUAUCAUCAGGAACACCAGUGGCGAAAGCGGCUUACUGGGUCUCUUCUGACGCUGAGGUACGAAAGCUAGGGUAGCGAACGGGGGAUUAGAUACCCCGGUAGUCCUAGCUGUAAACGAUGAGCACUUGGUCGGAGACUCCUCCAUAGGUUUCCGGUCGUAGCGAAAGUGUUAAAUGCUCCGCCUGGGGAGUAUGGUCGCAAGGCUG
This 374-nucleotide ribosomal RNA is filed under the name uncultured organism. Its description in RNAcentral is "partial 16S ribosomal RNA". It matches the Rfam family "Bacterial small subunit ribosomal RNA", at positions 527 to 896 of the family's 1533-position model. The record is from RNAcentral.